UUGUGAGGUUAAGCGACUAAGCGUACACGGUGGAUGCCCUGGCAGUCAGAGGCGAUGAAGGACGUGCUAAUCUGCGAUAAGCGUCGGUGAGGUGAUAUGAACCGUUAUAACCGGCGAUUUCCGAAUGGGGAAACCCAGUGUGUUUCGACACACUAUCAUUAACUGAAUCCAUAGGUUAAUGAGGCGAACCGGGGGAACUGAAACAUCUAAGUACCCCGAGGAAAAGAAAUCAACCGAGAUUCCCCCAGUAGCGGCGAGCGAACGGGGAGGAGCCCAGAGCCUGAAUCAGUGUGUGUGUUAGUGGAAGCGUCUGGAAAGGCGCGCGAUACAGGGUGACAGCCCCGUACACAAAAAUGCACAUAUUGUGAGCUCGAUGAGUAGGGCGGGACACGUGGUAUCCUGUCUGAAUAUGGGGGGACCAUCCUCCAAGGCUAAAUACUCCUGACUGACCGAUAGUGAACCAGUACCGUGAGGGAAAGGCGAAAAGAACCCCGGCGAGGGGAGUGAAAAAGAACCUGAAACCGUGUACGUACAAGCAGUGGGAGCCUCUUAAUGGGGUGACUGCGUACCUUUUGUAUAAUGGGUCAGCGACUUAUAUUCUGUAGCAAGGUUAACCGAAUAGGGGAGCCGAAGGGAAACCGAGUCUUAACUGGGC
Molecule: ribosomal RNA, 655 nt
Filed under: Escherichia coli
Lineage: Bacteria; Pseudomonadati; Pseudomonadota; Gammaproteobacteria; Enterobacterales; Enterobacteriaceae
Description: partial 23S ribosomal RNA
Rfam family: Bacterial large subunit ribosomal RNA
Source: RNAcentral